GCCCGGGUGGUGGAAUCGGUAUACACAGCGGACUUAAAAUCCGUGCCUUAUGGCAUGCGGGUUCGAGCCCCGCCCCGGGCACCA
RNAcentral lists this transfer RNA (84 nucleotides) under Candidatus Saccharimonadota bacterium. RNAcentral describes it as "tRNA-Leu". It matches the Rfam family "tRNA". From Rfam's summary of the family: Transfer RNA (tRNA) molecules are approximately 80 nucleotides in length. Their secondary structure includes four short double-helical elements and three loops (D, anti-codon, and T loops). Lineage: Bacteria; Candidatus Saccharimonadota. The record is from RNAcentral.